Molecule: long non-coding RNA, 1252 nt
Filed under: Pan troglodytes (chimpanzee)
Lineage: Eukaryota; Metazoa; Chordata; Mammalia; Primates; Hominidae
Description: lincRNA
Source: RNAcentral
CGGAGGCUUCACCCUUCGCUCCACAGGGUCGGCAGCAGGGCGGGGCCUCCGGAAGCUCCGCCCCACGCGUUCCCGGGGCGCAUGCGACGUGGGGCGGAGCGUCUGGAAGCUCCGCCCGUCGCACUGCAGAGUCGGCCGAGGCGCACGAGGUAUUUUUCACGCUCCGCCCCGCUGCAGGCUAAAGUGCGUGGGCGGGAAGCGGUGGGCAGGGUGCCAUCUGGCUCUGCCCUUCUCCUGUGGUGUGGGCCAGGCGGCGGGUUCCUCCUCCUGCAGCAGCCACAGGCUCCACCCUGAUCCUUCUCCCGCGGCGUGGAUCCUUCUCCCGCAAUCUCCGUUCGCGUCCCCAGUCAGUACCCGCAGCCUCCCGACGCACCCGCUGGCUUCAAGCCUCCCUACCCCAGGUUUCCUGGCUAAGAGAGAGACAGAGGGAGAGAGGGGGAAGAGAGAGAACAGGCAAUGGGAGGUUGAUGGUGAGAGCUUAUUGAAAGACAAGAGGGAGGAAACCCACAUCCUUCAUUCCCCAUCCAUUCAUUUAUUGCCUUAUUUAUUCCAUUGAAUCUUCACAGCUCUAGAAAAAGCGUGCUACAAUUAUUCCCUUUAUUAAAUGAGGUCACUGAGGCACAGACAGUUUAAGAAAUUUGCCAGCAGGGCACAGUGGCUCACUCUGGUAAUCCCAGAACUUUUGAGAGGGGGAGGAAGGUGGAUCCCUUGAGCCCAGGAGUUGGAGACCAGCCUGGCCAACAUGGCGAGACCCCGUUUCUACAAAAAUUAGCCAAAAUUAGCCAAACUGGCUCACGCUUGUAGUCCCAGGUACUCGAGAGGCUGAGGCCGGAGGAGCGUGUGAGCCCAGGAGGCAGUGGCUGCGCUGAGCCAUGAUUGUGCCACUGCACUCCAGCCUGGGCAACAGAGUAAGACCAUCUCAAAAAAAAAAAAAAAAAAAAAAGGAAAAAAGAAAAAAAGAACUGGCUGGGAGUGGUGGCUCAUGCCUGUAAUCCCAGCACUUUGGGAGGCCGAGGCGGGCAGAUCACAAGAUCAGAAGUUCGAGACCAGCCUAGCCAACAUGGUGAAACCUCAUCUCUACUAAAAAUACAAAAAUCAGCCAGGCAUGGUGGCAGGCACCUAUAAUCCCAGCUACUAGGGAGCCUGAGGCAGUAGAAUCGCUUGAACCUGGGAGGCAGAGGUUGCAGUGAGCCGAGGUUGCGCCACUGCACUCCAGCCUGGACAACAGAGCAAGACUCCGUCUCAAAAAAAA